AGAUAAUAGAUACCCUGGUAGUCCACGCCCUAAACGAUGUCUACUAGUUGUCGGGUCUUAAUUGACUUGGUAAACGCAGCUAAACGCGUGAAGUAGACCGCCUGGGGAGUACGGUCGCAAGAUUAAAACUCAAAGGAAUUGACGGGGACCCGCACAAGCGGUGGAUGAUGUGGAUUAAAUUCGAUGCAACGCGAAAAACCUUACCUACCCUUGACAUGGAUGGAAUCCCUGAGAGAUUGGGGAGUGCUCGAAAGAGAACCAUUACACAGGUGCUGCAUGGCUGUCGUCAGCUCGUGUCGUGAGAUGUUGGGUUAAGUCCCGCAACGAGCGCAACCCUUGUCAUUAGUUGCUACGAAAGGGCACUCUAAUGAGACUGCCGGUGACAAACCGGAGGAAGGUGGGGAUGACGUCAAGUCCUCAUGGCCCUUAUGGGUAGGGCUUCACACGUCAUACAAUGGUACAUACAGAGGGUCCGCCAACCCGGCGAGGGGUAGCUAAUCCCAGAAAGUGUAUCGUAGUCCGGAUUGUAGUCUGCAACUCG
This 541-nucleotide ribosomal RNA is filed under the name uncultured bacterium. Its description in RNAcentral is "bacterial SSU rRNA". It matches the Rfam family "Bacterial small subunit ribosomal RNA", at positions 774 to 1314 of the family's 1533-position model. The record is from RNAcentral.